Diabrotica virgifera virgifera (western corn rootworm) is the source of this 2590-nucleotide long non-coding RNA. RefSeq lists it as uncharacterized. Lineage: Eukaryota; Metazoa; Arthropoda; Insecta; Coleoptera; Chrysomelidae. The transcript has 4 exons. The record is from RefSeq and is a predicted model, not a curated record.
GAGAUAACAUAUCGGUUUAAAGUACCAAUUUUGUGGAGAAUCCAUACAAAACCGCCAAUAUUUUACAGUUAUUUUGCAAAAUUCUUAUUAAAUAUAUCUACAGUGAGCAAAAAUCUUCGGAUGAGCAAGUAAAGUGUGUUAAUAUUAAGAAUCUAAUAACUUUGAAGUCGAAAAAGUAAAUAUUCUCAAUGUGGAAUCAAGCCAAGCUUAAUUACGAAAAUAUUAAAUAUUUAACAACUUUUGUUAAAUAUAUUAAAAUAUGAAGUGUACUUGAGUGAUAUGUGGUAAACAAUAAAAUGUGAUCGUACAACAUCAAAUUCUGCAACAACAACUAAUUACACAAAAAAAUAAAAACUGCCAGAUCGGAAAUAGGAUUAAGAUAAAAUAAAAAUUAUGACAAUGACAGCAUCACAACGACACUGUUCAGAAAUUAAACAAUGGCUGUUGCUAUCUGGAAAAACGUCAAGUGUCAAAAAAAAAGAAGAAAUGGUUAAGGUUAUACCCGAGUUUUUGUAACAGAGUUAGCAGCCUAGAUUUGACAGCCUCACAGAUUCUAUCAGUGAGUUAAACUAAAGAAGAUUUCUUAUUAAAGAAAAUGGACGGCUUUGAUUUUGAUAUUAAAAUUAUAGCCAUUAUAAUUUGUAUUAUAGUUGUUGCCCUUAUUGUGUGCUACCAUGUCAUUAGAAAUAAUAGUAGUCAUUAGAAGAAAAGAAAGAUCAAUACGACGUAUAUAACUUACUGAAUAUGCAUUUUCCACAUAAUAUACGAUGUUUAUCACUACCUCAAGUUCACCAAGACUAUGCAAGUAUAGAAAAUCAAGUUCACCAAGACUAUGCAAGUGUAGAAACUUCUAUGUAAUGGAGGACUAAUCAAAAUCCAAAUUGGCUCUCUAGACCUAGACAAUAGCAUUUCAGUAAUUAUGGAAGAAUAACAUAUUAUUUGAAUUGGACAUGUACCUGUCCGGUGGAAAUUGGCGAGAAAUGAGUAUUUUUUAUAUAUUUAUUUUUAUUUAUUACUUAUGAUUGUUUACCUAUUAAUUUAUUUACCUACUAAUAAUAAGUUUAAUUAUAUUUUUAAACAAGAAGAUUUUUAAAUUAUGAAAAUGUUAUACGCGAUGUUAAUACAUAUUUAAAAUACGUAAUUUUAGUCAGACUAAAUAACAGUUUAAUGUAAAGAACCUAUUGUAUUAAUUGAAAAAGGAACUAUUGUCAAAGCUCAUGUGAUUAAUUAAAGAAAUUUUCUUAAUUAUUAAAAAUCAAUAAUCCUUAUAUCCGAAAAUUUUCUUCAGUGUUUGAUAGUGAGUAGUUAUUAUAUAAUAAUAAUUGAAGUAAUAUUUAUAGGGAAAUUUUCAUAUGCCAAUAAAAUUUGCCCUAGAUUUUAAACUCUAUUUUACUCUAUCGUAUGAGUCUGUUAGUUCAAUAAAUAAGAGAUAGACCUCUUGGUGUUCCUUAAUACUUUUUUUCAGUUAAAUUUUAUUAAAAAUUUGUCCAACUCGUGCUUGUUGCUCUAUUUCACACGGCUCAUAAGCUUCUUGGAUUUAAUUUAAUUUAAGAUUUUUCCCUAUAGCCUACUAAAGGUGCGGGUUACUGAAAUGCACCUAUUCACUUGUCCUUUGCGUAUUUUUUUGGGAAUGCAGCUAAUUCAUGCUUCUUUCCAGUUCUUUCAUUUCUGCUUUCACACUUUUAUUCUCCUUGAAUUUACAUGUGGAAUAAUAUACGUAUAGGGGAGUGCAAUUAGAACGAAAAUAUUCAUUGUUUCGGAAAAAUUCAAACAAGCUUAUAUUUUUCCAAAACUUUUUUUGUUAGUUUAUAUGCAUAUUAAAGUAAAAAGUUCUACUCGCAGAUUUGGCCGCUAACUGUUUAUUAAUUGUUUAAACAAUAACAAUUGUUUUGUUUAAAUAAUUUUAAAAAUAUCGUUAAAUUCAUCAUUUUACUUUGAUCAAAUAUGUUUGUAUUUUGUUUUUGAUUAUGCUGAAUCCGAAUAUGGCAUUGCAAUUUGAAAAUUCUUAUACAGAAGCUCUUGUACACUCUGUCUGCGUAGGCGUAGCUAGGAACCACAUGGAAAACUUUUUUAUUAUCAAUUUUACGAAAAAAUGGUAUUCUUCAUAAAAUGCUCUGGAUAGUCAAGACUCUAAUUUUCAAUCAUCAGAUAUAAAAAUUUUACCAAUUUUAUACGAGUUAUGUCAAAAAAAUGAAUUUCGUUAGAGAGUAGAGUACCUUUAUAUUCCAGAAUAUCAAAAAAUGAUAUUAUGAAAAGUUGUUUGAAAUUAAAAACUAUGUUUAAAUAAACAAUUACAUCAUUUUAAUCGAAAAAAAAAUUCAAUUUUUUCUCAAAUUACGGAUACUCAUCCUCAUUUUAUUACAAUAUUAUGAUAACUAUUUUAUUAUCACUUUUACGAAAAUAAGUUAUUCUUCAUAAAAUGCUCUCCCUGGUCUAAAAUCUAAGAUACAACCAUCAGAUAUCAAACUUUUUUAAUUUUAUACGAGGUAUGUAAAAAAUAUGAAUUUUUCUUAAGAGUUAAGUGCCUUUAUUAUUCACAAUAUUUUAAUUAGAAGGAUGUAAUUAAACGCUAAAACAAUUUUUUUAAUUC